AGGGGUAACAUAGGAAAGCUUGCUUUCUUGAUGACGACCGGCGCACGGGUGCGGAACGCGUAUGGAACCUGCCCCUGUCAGGGGAAUAGCCCAGGGAAACUUGGAUUAAUGCCCCAUGGUACCGCGAUAUCGCAUGAUAUUGCGGUUAANGAUUUUANCGAACAGGGAUGGCCAUGCGUACCAUUAGUUAGUUGGUGGGGUAACGGCCCACCAAGGCAGCGAUGGUUAGGGGCCCUGAGAGGGGGAUCCCCCACACUGGUACUGAGACACGGACCAGACUCCUACGGGAGGCAGCAGUGAGGAAUAUUGGACAAUGGGCGGGAGCCUGAUCCAGCCAUGCCGCGUGCAGGAUGACGGCCCUAUGGGUUGUAAACUGCUUUUAUACGGGAAGAAACGCACCUACGUGUAGGUGUCUGACGGUACCGUAAGAAUAAGGACCGGCUAACUCCGUGCCAGCAGCCGCGGUAAUACGGAGGGUCCGAGCGUUAUCCGGAAUCAUUGGGUUUAAAGGGUCCGUAGGCGGGCCUGUAAGUCAGGGGUGAAAGUUUGUGGCUCAACCAUAAAAUUGCCUUUGAUACUGCAGGUCUUGAGUCAUGGUGGGGUCGCCGGAACAUGUGGUNGUAGCGGUGAAAUGCAUAGAUAUCACAUAGAACACCGAUCGCGAAGGCNGGUGGCCNACCAUGUACUGACGCUNAUGGACNAAAGCGUGGGUAGCGAACGGGAUUAGAUACCCCGGUAGUCCACGCCGUANACNANGGANAC
Molecule: ribosomal RNA, 762 nt
Filed under: marine CFB-group bacterium SY186
Lineage: Bacteria; Pseudomonadati; Bacteroidota
Description: bacterial SSU rRNA
Rfam family: Bacterial small subunit ribosomal RNA
Source: RNAcentral